AAAGGAUUCCCCUCCCGUGUUCCCUCACUUCCCCGAUCGCAUAUGCUACCAUCGAUGCCGGUGAGGUCGCCGGCCCUCAUCUUCGUCUGCAACUUGUGCCUGCGAGCUCCCACCAUCAAGCGCAUCCAGCAGGUCGUGCUGCAACCCAUGGCCAUGUCCUUUGCAUCUCCGGCGACCCCCGGCUUCAGUUAAAUCUCCCAUGUCGCCGGUGGAAGAUCUUCAGCGUCUUGGACUGCCCACAUGGUUAUCUACAGAGCUACAGCUUGGAUUCGUGUGUAGUCGUUACUCACUCAUGCGAACUUCAGGGAGCUUUUGGUUAUUGGGUGCAACCUCUGGGAGACAGUAGCACGGGCUAUCUUCAGCCGAUUUGGCUGGCGAGCUAAUAAUAGGCUAGUGUGUAGGCAUCAUAGCUUGUGUUUAAUCGCCGGAUGUGACACUUUUCGGUUCUAUAUCGCCGGAGUGGCGCUUUUUAGAUUUAUUUUCUUUUGACUUCUGCUUAGUAUGACCUUUCAUAAAUCAACGUAUACAUGUACGUUUCCCAA
This is a long non-coding RNA of Triticum dicoccoides, 542 nucleotides long. RefSeq lists it as uncharacterized. Lineage: Eukaryota; Viridiplantae; Streptophyta; Magnoliopsida; Poales; Poaceae. The record is from RefSeq and is a predicted model, not a curated record. The transcript has 2 exons.